GAUGAAGAACGCAGCGAAAUGCGAUAAGUAAUGCGAAUUGCAGAAUUCCGUGUGUCAUCGAAUCUUUGAACGCACAUUGCGCCCUUUGGCAUUCCGAAGGGCAUGCCUGUUCGAGCGUCAUUUAUCAACCCUCACGCCCGGCUUGCGGUUGGGUCCCGCCGUGGGCGACCACGGCGGACCCGAAAGGUAAUGGCGGUGCCCGUGGGGCCCUGGACGCAGCGAGCUUCUCGGCACGCGUCCCGGCGGUCCCCGGCGCCGUCUCCACCAAUCCACCACGCAGAUUGACCUCGGAUCAGGUAGGGAUACCCGCUGAACUUAAGCAUAUCAAUAAGCGGAGGA
RNAcentral lists this unclassified non-coding RNA (339 nucleotides) under soil metagenome. Its description in RNAcentral is "partial contains 5.8S ribosomal RNA, internal transcribed spacer 2, and large subunit ribosomal RNA". The stretch from base 1 to 120 matches the Rfam family "5.8S ribosomal RNA", at positions 35 to 154 of the family's 154-position model. The record is from RNAcentral.